AUCCUUCACCAACUGCACCGCCUAAGAAGCUGGGACAUGCCAGUGAGGCAUUGCUUCAGGUCCUUCAGCCAACAGAGGAUCCCACCAUCUACCUCCAGAAGAGAGCUCUCUGCACCCCUGUUUUGCUCUUUGAUGGAUCCAGCUGUCUUGUCGCAAUUGGAACUACUCCCUACCCAACACCGCAUUUGCCAAGGAAUACCUCAGUGAAGUUGCAGGUGUCCGGAUCCAGACAUGAUGGAGAAACACCCAGAACAUUUCAACGAGAGUGAAAUAAACUGGACGUGUGACAGCUUUUCUUCUCUGGGCCUUGCUUUUGUGAUGAAUAAAUACAUUUGGAAU
Molecule: long non-coding RNA, 339 nt
Organism: Epinephelus moara (kelp grouper)
Lineage: Eukaryota; Metazoa; Chordata; Actinopteri; Perciformes; Serranidae
Exons: 3
Source: RefSeq, a predicted model, not a curated record